This 253-nucleotide ribosomal RNA is filed under the name uncultured bacterium. RNAcentral describes it as "partial 16S ribosomal RNA". It matches the Rfam family "Bacterial small subunit ribosomal RNA", at positions 524 to 776 of the family's 1533-position model. The record is from RNAcentral.
UACGGAGGGACCAAGCGUUGUUCGGAUUUACUGGGCGUAAAGGGCGCGUAGGCGGUGCGGUAAGUCACUUGUGAAAUCUCUGAGCUUAACUCAGAACGGCCAAGUGAUACUGCAGUACUAGAGUGCAGAAGGGGCAAUCAGAAUUCUUGGUGUAGCGGUGAAAUGCGUAGAUAUCAAGAGGAAUGCCUGAGGUGAAGACGGGUUGCUAGGCUGACACUGACGCUGAGGCGCGAAAGCCAGGGGAGCAAACGGG